RNAcentral lists this long non-coding RNA (522 nucleotides) under Anas platyrhynchos platyrhynchos (common mallard). Its description in RNAcentral is "lncRNA (ENSAPLG00000019762.1)". The record is from RNAcentral. Lineage: Eukaryota; Metazoa; Chordata; Aves; Anseriformes; Anatidae.
AUCUCUUGUUCUUCUCUCUCCCUCACCUGUGCAGGUCUCCCUAAAAAGCAGACGGAGAGGUUGGUGUCCAUGAGGAGCAGAUGAGAAUAUGAGUCUCAGGGAGAGAGAGAGUCUGCAGAAAAGGCUCUUACCCCUGGUCUUUGACCACCCUCCAGGUGGUAUCACAGUGGCCUCUUUCAUCUGCCACAACAGACAGCUUGGUGGUGAAAAGGCACUGUGAAGGACCUGGAUAUGGUUGACCUCCCUGUGCUUCUUGAAGCGGUUUCCGUGGGUAGACUGGCUGCUCCCCUCCUCUGGAAAGGGUUUAUACGGUGCUCCAGAAAUUCACAAAGGAAGAAGAUGUCCACAUUUCAUAAGAUUUUAUCAUCUAAUUCUGUACCAGUGAAUACUACUCAAAAACAGGUGUCAAGUAGCAAGGGAGAUGAAUGCAAGUUAGAGUGCGGCAUAAGGAGAAUAUCUCUCUCACAGUUGUACUUAACAGUUUUGAAACCUUCAGCCCAUCAUUUCACAUCUCUGAACUAA